Halichondria panicea is the source of this 1290-nucleotide long non-coding RNA. RefSeq lists it as uncharacterized. NCBI's taxonomy places the organism in Eukaryota, Metazoa, Porifera, Demospongiae, Suberitida, Halichondriidae. The record is from RefSeq and is a predicted model, not a curated record. The transcript has 3 exons.
AGCACUAAGGUAUAAAAAGGUGAGGACUAUUAUAAUUAUUUUACAAGGCCAUAAUUAUAUAUGUGUGUCAUAUACUUUAAGAUUGCACAAGAAGUGUCAGAGUCACGAAAUGAGUUCAUGCAGAGGGUAAAGACAAAGCAAGUGCCAGAACAACUAUCCAGUAAAACACAAACCAUUCAUAGUGACUCAAAAAGUACACCUGACUACUUUACACCACACAACUUUACACUUUAUAUGGCAGGUCGGAAGAGGCAAAGACGGUGUGAACAGUGUCCAGGAUGCAUUAGUAUACAGACUGCAAUCAAUGUAAGUUUUGUUUGGACAAGCCUAAGAAUGGUGGACCAGGAAUUAAGAAACAGUGCUGCAUCAAACGCAAGUGCAUUCGUACUGCAAAAGCAGAAGCUGAUGUGGCAAAUGUUAUUUCAAGACUACACCAUUUUAGUGGUGCAGCUUCAACACCACAACUUGAAGUGCAAGAAAAGGGGAAAGUAUCAGAAAAGGAAUUUUGUGAUGGUUAUUUCAGGUCUUGCCCGGGAUUUGUGAAGCUACCCAAUGCAGAUAUUCCUGUCCCUCCGCAAUAUGUUCCAAGUUCAGGUGGGCUUUACUCAACACAUGAGGUAAUGGUACGGAGUUACAGACGCCAGCUUUCACUGUCUCUGUUGGGAAGCGAAAAGACAGCAGAUCAUAUACACGAAACAAGAUACAUUAUUAAUCCUGCACCGAACACAGAAGGAUAUAAACUAUUUCAGAAUAUGCUGGGAAAACAACGGAGAAUUGACUACAUUCAAGCUGAUGGAAAUUGUCUGUUUAGAGCACUUUCCAAAGAGAUCUUGGGCCAUGAAAAAUUUCACCAUACAGUCCGACAAACCGACACACACGAGAAAGCAGCCAUUUAUUUAAAAGAUAUGUAUUUGAUGGUACCCUUGAGGCUCACUGCAAGAAAAUGGAAGCUAUUGGAUAUAUUGGGGUACGCAAGUUGAAAUCUAUGCAGCAGCUAACUUGUUGAAGACAGAAAUCUACAUUUUCUGUAAGCAACCAGACAGCCAACGUUACCAUUGGAUUUGCUAUCGACCAAACGAGCACUUUCAUCAACAAGAAAAAUGUUCAGACUUAGUACUUAAUAAGAUCCUUCAGCUUUCACCACCAAAGGGCUACCACAUAGAGCUUAUUCAUACUUUGGAAUGCCAUUUUGAUAGGGUAACCCCUUCUAACCUCUUGCUCACCUCAAUGGACAGUGCUCCUGAGCUUCAGUCAGCAACAUCAACUGUAGAUUUAACUUAUUAGACCAUG